This 210-nucleotide unclassified non-coding RNA is filed under the name plant metagenome. RNAcentral describes it as "partial contains small subunit ribosomal RNA and internal transcribed spacer 1". The stretch from base 1 to 46 matches the Rfam family "Eukaryotic small subunit ribosomal RNA", at positions 1786 to 1831 of the family's 1831-position model. The record is from RNAcentral.
AAGUCGUAACAAGGUUUCCGUAGGUGAACCUGCGGAAGGAUCAUUAAAGAAUGCCCCGUUUUUUGAAAUGGGUUCUAUUCCCAAACCGUGUAUACAUACCUUUGUUGCUUUGGCAGGCCGCCUUCGGGCGUCGGCUCACGCUGACCGCGCCUGCCAGAGGACCCAAACUCUUUUGUUUAGUGAUGUCUGAGUAUUAUAUAAUAGCUAAAA